RNAcentral lists this ribosomal RNA (466 nucleotides) under uncultured bacterium. Its description in RNAcentral is "partial 16S ribosomal RNA". It matches the Rfam family "Bacterial small subunit ribosomal RNA", at positions 28 to 507 of the family's 1533-position model. The record is from RNAcentral.
GAUGAACGCUGGCGGCGUGCUUAACACAUGCAAGUCGAACGAUGAAGCCCAGCUUGCUGGGUGGAUUAGUGGCGAACGGGUGAGUAACACGUGAGUAACCUGCCCUUAACUCUGGGAUAAGCCUGGGAAACUGGGUCUAAUACCGGAUAGGAGCGCCUACCGCAUGGUGGGUGUUGGAAAGAUUUAUCGGUUUUGGAUGGACUCGCGGCCUAUCAGCUUGUUGGGGAGGGAAUGGCUCACCAAGGCGACGACGGGUAGCCGGCCUGAGAGGGUGACCGGCCACACUGGGACUGAGACACGGCCCAGACUCCUACGGGAGGCAGCAGGGGGGAAUAUUGCACAAUGGGCGAAAGCCUGAUGCAGCGGCGCCGCGUGAGGGAUGACGGCCUUCGGGUUGUAAACCUCUUUCAGUAGGGAAGAAGCGAAAGUGACGGUACCUGCAGAAGAAGCACCGGCUAACUACGUG